This 468-nucleotide ribosomal RNA is filed under the name uncultured bacterium. Its description in RNAcentral is "partial 16S ribosomal RNA". It matches the Rfam family "Bacterial small subunit ribosomal RNA", at positions 28 to 507 of the family's 1533-position model. The record is from RNAcentral.
GACGAACGCUGGCGGCGUGCUUAACACAUGCAAGUCGAACGGAAAGGCCCUGCUUUUGUGGGGUGCUCGAGUGGCGAACGGGUGAGUAACACGUGAGUAACCUGCCCUUGACUUUGGGAUAACUUCAGGAAACUGGGGCUAAUACCGGAUAGGAGCUCCUGCUGCAUUGUGGGGGUUGGAAAGUUUCGGCGGUUGGGGAUGGACUCGCGGCUUAUCAGCUUGUUGGUGGGGUAGUGGCUUACCAAGGCUUUGACGGGUAGCCGGCCUGAGAGGGUGACCGGCCACAUUGGGACUGCGAGACGGCCCAGUCUCCUACGGGGGGCAGCAGUGGGGAAUAUUGCACAAUGGGCGGAAGCCUGAUGCAGCAACGCCGCGGGCGGGAUGACGGCCUUCGGGGUGUAAACCGCUUUCGCCUGUGACGAAGCGUGAGUGACGGUAAUGAGUAAAGAAGCACCGGCUAACUACGUG